This 505-nucleotide ribosomal RNA is filed under the name uncultured bacterium. RNAcentral's name for it is "partial 16S ribosomal RNA". It matches the Rfam family "Bacterial small subunit ribosomal RNA", at positions 28 to 507 of the family's 1533-position model. The record is from RNAcentral.
GACGAACGCUGGCGGCGUGCCUAAUACAUGCAAGUAGAACGCACAGUUUAUACCGUAGCUUGCUACACCAUAGACUGUGAGUUGCGAACGGGUGAGUAACGCGUAGGUAACCUGCCUGGUAGCGGGGGAUAACUAUUGGAAACGAUAGCUAAUACCGCAUAAUAUUAAUUAUUGCAUGAUAAUUAAUUGAAAGGUGCAAUUGCACCACUACCAGAUGGACCUGCGUUGUAUUAGCUAGUAGGUGAGGUAACGGCUCACCUAGGCGACGAUACAUAGCCGACCUGCGAGGGUGAUCGGCAUCACUGGGACUGAGACACGGCCCAGAACCCUACGGGAGGCAGCAGUAGGGAAUCUUCGGCAAUGGACGAAAGUCUGACCGAGCAACGCCGCGUGAGUGAAGAAGGGUUUCGGAUCGUAAAGCUCUGUUGUAAGAGAAGAACGGGUGUGAGAGUGGAAAGUUCACACUGUGACGGUAUCUUACCAGAAAGGGACGGCUAACUACGUG